UUUUGCAAUAUGUUCCUGAAUAUG
Molecule: microRNA, 24 nt
Filed under: Canis lupus familiaris (dog)
Lineage: Eukaryota; Metazoa; Chordata; Mammalia; Carnivora; Canidae
Description: Cfa-Mir-450-P3_5p (mature (guide))
Source: RNAcentral